CGGUCUUCGGACCGAGUGGCGCACGGGUGAGUAACACGUAACUGACCUACCCAGAAGUCAUGAAUAACUGGCCGAAAGGUCAGCUAAUACGUGAUGUGGUGAUUUGCCGUGGCAAAUCACUAAAGAUUUAUCGCUUCUGGAUGGGGUUGCGUUCCAUCAGCUGGUUGGUGGGGUAAAGGCCUACCAAGGCGACGACGGAUAGCCGGCCUGAGAGGGUGGCCGGCCACAGGGGCACUGAGACACGGGUCCCACUCCUACGGGAGGCAGCAGUUAGGAAUCUUCCACAAUGGGCGCAAGCCUGAUGGAGCGACGCCGCGUGAGGGAUGAAGGUUUUCGGAUCGUAAACCUCUGAAUCUGGGACGAAAGAGCCUUUA
RNAcentral lists this ribosomal RNA (374 nucleotides) under Deinococcus wulumuqiensis. RNAcentral describes it as "bacterial SSU rRNA". It matches the Rfam family "Bacterial small subunit ribosomal RNA", at positions 69 to 459 of the family's 1533-position model. The record is from RNAcentral. Lineage: Bacteria; Thermotogati; Deinococcota; Deinococci; Deinococcales; Deinococcaceae.